RNAcentral lists this ribosomal RNA (495 nucleotides) under uncultured bacterium. RNAcentral's name for it is "partial 16S ribosomal RNA". It matches the Rfam family "Bacterial small subunit ribosomal RNA", at positions 28 to 507 of the family's 1533-position model. The record is from RNAcentral.
GACGAACGCUGGCGGCGUGCCUAAUACAUGCAAGUAGAACGCUGAAGGAGGAGCUUGCUCUUCUGGAUGAGUUGCGAACGGGUGAGUAACGCGUAGGUAACCUGCCUGGUAGCGGGGGAUAACUAUUGGAAACGAUAGCUAAUACCGCAUAAGAGUAGAUGUUGCAUGACAUUUGCUUAAAAGGUGCAAUUGCAUCACUACCAGAUGGACCUGCGUUGUAUUAGCUAGUUGGUGGGGUAACGGCUCACCAAGGCGACGAUACAUAGCCGACCUGAGAGGGUGAUAGGCCACACUGGGACUGAGACACGGCCCAGCAUCCUACGGGAGGCAGAAGUAGGGAAUCUUCGGCAAUGGACGGAAGUCUGACCGAGCAACGCCGCGUGAGUGAAGAAGGUUUUCGGAUCGUAAAGCUCUGUUGUAAGAGAAGAACGAGUGUGAGAGUGGAAAGUUCACACUGUGACGGUAUCUUAACAGAAAGGGACGGCUAACUACGUG